This 379-nucleotide ribosomal RNA is filed under the name uncultured eukaryote. RNAcentral describes it as "partial 18S ribosomal RNA". It matches the Rfam family "Eukaryotic small subunit ribosomal RNA", at positions 592 to 975 of the family's 1831-position model. The record is from RNAcentral.
CAAUAGCGUAUAUUAAAGUUGUUGCGGUUAAAAAGCUCGUAGUUGGAUUUCUGCUGAGAACGACCGGUCCGCCCUCUGGGUGUGUAUCUGGCUCUUUCUUGGCAUCUUCUUGGUGAACGUUGCUGCACUUGACUGUGUGGAGCGCUACCCAGGACUUUUACUUUGAGGAAAUUAGAGUGUUUCAAGCAGGCAUACGCCUUGAAUACAUUAGCAUGGAAUAAUAAGAUAGGACCUCGGUUCUAUUUUGUUGGUUUCUAGAGCUGAGGUAAUGAUUAAUAGGGAUAGUUGGGGGCAUUCGUAUUUAACUGUCAGAGGUGAAAUUCUUGGAUUUGUUAAAGACGGACUACUGCGAANGNAUUUGCNAAGGAUGUCUNCAUUG